This 189-nucleotide ribosomal RNA is filed under the name uncultured bacterium. RNAcentral describes it as "partial 16S ribosomal RNA". It matches the Rfam family "Bacterial small subunit ribosomal RNA", at positions 338 to 524 of the family's 1533-position model. The record is from RNAcentral.
CCUACGGGAGGCAGCAGUGAGGAAUAUUGGUCAAUGGGCGAGAGCCUGAACCAGCCAAGUAGCGUGCAGGAUGACGGCCCUAUGGGUUGUAAACUGCUUUUAUGCGGGGAUAAAGUCGGCUACGUGUAGCCGUUUGUAGGUACCGCAUGAAUAAGGACCGGCUAAUUCCGUGCCAGCAGCCGCGGUAAU